GAAAGUUUGGAUCCCCAUGAAACCCUACUAUACCCAAGCUUACCAGGAGAUCUGGGUAGGAACGGGGUUGAUGGCCUACAUCGUUUAUAAAAUCAGGAGUGCUGAUAAACGAAGUAAAGCCUUGAAAGCUUGUCAGUGCGGGCUGGCGUGAUGACUGCAGUCCGCUCUUCCCCCCCUAAACUGUCUCUGCAUUGUGCUUCUCUUCGGAAAGCUUCCAGCGCCGCUCCGGCUCAUGGUCAUCAUUAACCAGCUUUCCACGGACGGGACACCGGCCUGGCUCUGCUGUGGGAACAUGGGACUCCGUGUUGACGUGCUGCGGUGCCGCUGCCCUCGGGCCUGAAUAAACAUACCUGUGAGACCCA
Budorcas taxicolor (takin) is the source of this 362-nucleotide long non-coding RNA. RefSeq lists it as uncharacterized. The transcript is spliced from 3 exons. The record is from RefSeq and is a predicted model, not a curated record. NCBI's taxonomy places the organism in Eukaryota, Metazoa, Chordata, Mammalia, Artiodactyla, Bovidae.